RNAcentral lists this long non-coding RNA (3190 nucleotides) under Marmota monax (woodchuck). The record is from RNAcentral. Lineage: Eukaryota; Metazoa; Chordata; Mammalia; Rodentia; Sciuridae.
UUUUAUGUGGCCCGGAGAAUCGAACCCUGUGCCCCACACGUGCUAGGUGAACACUCCACCACUGAGCCACAACCCCAGGCCACCAUCACCUCUUGACUGGUGAGGAAGCUCAGCCUUGGAGCGUUGGGGAUGUUACCCAAAGACAAUUGCAAAUGGCAGAGCCAAGUUAGAAACCAGGAAGGGAAGAGAGAUGACUCCAUCUCUCAAUCACUUAGCAACCCAGGAACAGGGUGAAAAGUAUCCCCCGCAGGGACAUGUUGGGGCUCUUCCGUGUGAGACAUCAUCCAGCCCCCAGAACUCAAUGGCACUUUUAGAUUUUAGCACCAUUGCUAAAGUGGCAGGGGACAGGAACAGUUUGGCCCUUGAUGAGCUCUAUAAUGGCAGAAGCCUCUAUAAUGGUGCACUUCUGGGGGACACACGGGACAAGGGAGUGGUAAGUCAGAGAGGAAGACAGACAUUUUAAGCUGUUUUGUGGGUCCCUGGACUCGCUGCAUAUUUUGCAAAUGUACAGCUAAUUCAGCUUAUCAGCCCCCACCUCCCCUUUAAAACUGUUCCAAGAAGCUUUUGUUCAAGAGAAGGAAAGGGCAGACACGUUCUGAUCUAACAGCAUCUAUACCAUCUGAACCUCAGAGCUGACUUCCUCAGUCUCUUGAGGAAGAGAGAGCCAGAGAAAGAGUUGAAAGUAGAAAUACUCUCCCAAGUUUUUGCAUUUAGCUCAUCAAAAGCCGUGCCUGGCCGACUUGAUCCUGGCUGUUUAAGUGAGGGCAGUCUGAGCUGAGCAAGCAAGAAGGGCCCGGGAAUUGGGGGAGCCCCUCACUCCCACCAGUGGAUGGUGGGAAGGGAGAGUGAGGAGGCAGAAUAGAGGGAGGGUCCUUCCUGCAGGCUCAGGCCCAGCUCCGUGAUCCUCAUUUUCUAUCCCAGGAUCUGCCUCCUCCAGAAAUGAUGGACAGGAGUGGAGGAUUGGUUCCUGCUUGGGAAAACCCCUUCCUCCAUUCCUAGGGAUGCUAUCUUGACCUUUGACCCUGACAAGGACACCAGCCUCCUGAUUCUGCCCUUACUGCACCCUGGGGGGCUCAUUCCUGAGGACGUCUUGCUGUCAGGGGAGGGAACCCGUAACCCACACUCAGCAUUUGCAGCCCCAGGCCUGACACUCUGUGUGCUGUGGUCAGCUCUGGGAGAAACUCAGGGUUAAUCGUAGCCAUGUUCUCUGUCACAGGGACCUUUCAGAAUAGUGAGGAAACCAAAUUAAUCAAAUAAUUACAAGUAAAUGCAAACCAAUGUGAUGAAUGCUAGGAAGGAGACACCAAUGGCCCAUUGGAAACAAAUGACUGGAAAGGGGACUUGGUUAGAGGAGGUCCGGGAAGAUAGGCUGAUGUUAGCUAGACGAAGGAGGAGGGAUGGUCCCAGGCAAAGGAAUUGGCAUGCGCAAGGGUCCUGUGGCAGGAGGAAUGGGGUGAGUAAUAAUGUGCUGAAGAAAGACUGAUGUGGCUUAGGACAGAUUGGGAAGUGAACAUAGCAGGACACCAGAGUCAUUUGGAGAGGUUGGGACCACAGCUUGCAGUGCCUUUCACAAAACCCAUGGAUUCUUUUUCAGUUUUAAUCCUAGGACAGGAAAACUCUUACUGUGUUUAUAACAAGGGAGCAGGAUAGUGUGUGUCAAGAAGAAAAUGUCUGGAGCGCGGAUCCUUCCAGAACAUUUGUGUCAGCUACUCUUCUUCGAGGUGUGCUGGUGCGCUCUCUGACUUUCUCACCUACCUUCAGUCCUACCUUCUGAGACCCAACUCCUCCCCUGCACCUCCACCUGGGUCCCUCAGGAGCGGCAGCUCGAGCCAGCCUCGCUGUCGGCCCCUCCGGGUCCCCACCCUGGAGACUGUCUCCCUCCACCCCAUGCCCAAGAUGGAAACUGAGUGUCAGACACCAUGCCUCCCCGACUCCAACCCUCAUCCCACGCCGAGCACCACGCUCUACUAAGUCUGUGUCCCAAAUAUCUCUCCAGUAUACCCAGUUCUUUCUUUCUCUGCCGUCAUGAUGGCCCAGGACACGGCACCAUGGCCUGGGUGCUCUGAACAUCUCCUAACUAGUCUCCCUCCUCCACCUUCCACCACCUUCCUCCACGAUCGUCCUCCACACAGAAGCACAAGAGAUCUUUAAAAUGACUAAGGUGCCCUCUCUAAAGCCUUCCAUGGAUCCCCAUUUCCUUAGGUAUGAGCCAGACUUCUCACCAUGGCUCAUGAGGAAGUGCUCCUGACCAUCUAGCCCAAACCAGUCCUGUAGCGGGCAGAAAUGUUUUCAUUUCCUGUUACAUCCAGCACCUUGUUCACCCCUUUCUCUUAAGCAAUGUCGCACACAACAGCCUCUUGAGAAAUAUUUGAGGAUGGAUUUCCUAAACACAUGAAGGAUCAAGUGAGCAAAUGAAAGAAUGAAUGGGCGUUGACCAGAGCACUUAGCCCUUCUGAGCCAGGGCUGCUGCAGAGCCAUUCCUCGGCUGGGCGGUGGACCUUGUCCCACGUGCCACUCUCUUUACAUGUUUUCUGACUCAAGGUCCCCAUUCACAGAUUCCCAGCCUGAAGGAUUGGCUUUCUCCUCUGCCUUUUAAGUUUUAUAGGUGAGCUUUCAAAACAGCAUCAGGGCGCCCAAGUUUGACUACGUAGAGGGUAAAUUUUAAAACGUGUUUCUUUGCUGACUCCACAUUCCCACAUCAAGCCCACACAGGCACCAGGGGCAGUGGGAAGAAGUCGGCUCCUGCCUUAAGUUCCCCUCCUUGCCUCCUCUGACCUUGACCCAGACACAUUUGAGGGCACCAGUGAAAUCCUUCCUGCCCUUUGCUUGCAUGCCCCACCUGGACCGCAGUGAAGGCACCUUCCUGGGACCUGGCUCCUCCCUGCUCCCCACCUGCUGGGUUGAGCAUCCUCCUGAGUGGCCCCUCACAGUGUGCAGCACUUCUCUCUCCAGGAUCUGUGAGUUUAAUGAACUUGGUCAUCCUCUCUUGUAGCUGCAUUGGACCAAUCAUCGCCUAAAAUAUCACAGAAAUACUAGGGCCUCACACGAGGCCAAUCAUGUUAUUCCCACCUAACAAAGGAGCAAGUGACAUUUCAGGGAGGGUGCAUGAUGUGGUCGCCGUUGGCUCCACAGGGCCACCCUGAUAUGGGCUGCCCUCCGUGUCCCUGGGUUCCACAUCCACAGAUUUAAC